RNAcentral lists this ribosomal RNA (767 nucleotides) under Vibrio sp. PAS47. RNAcentral's name for it is "bacterial SSU rRNA". It matches the Rfam family "Bacterial small subunit ribosomal RNA", at positions 67 to 831 of the family's 1533-position model. Lineage: Bacteria; Pseudomonadati; Pseudomonadota; Gammaproteobacteria; Vibrionales; Vibrionaceae. The record is from RNAcentral.
CUGAACCUUCAAAAAACGAUAACGGCGUCGAGCGGCGGACGGGUGAGUAAUGCCUAGGAAAUUGCCCUGAUGUGGGGGAUAACCAUUGGAAACGAUGGCUAAUACCGCAUGAUGCCUACGGGCCAAAGACCCCGACCUUCGGGCCUCUCGCGUCAGGAUAUGCCUAGGUGGGAUUAGCUAGUUGGUGAGGUAAGGGCUCACCAAGGCGACGAUCCCUAGCUGGUCUGAGAGGAUGAUCAGCCACUAGCGAACUGAGACACGGUCCAGACUCCUACGGGAGGCAGCAGUGGGGAAUAUUGCACAAUGGGCGCAAGCCUGAUGCAGCCAUGCCGCGUGUAUGAAGAAGGCCUUCGGGUUGUAAAGUACUUUCAGUCGUGAGGAAGGUGGUGGCGCCGGUAGCGGUAUCAUUUGACGUUAGCGACAGAAGAAGCACCGGCUAACUCCGUGCCAGCAGCCGCGGUAAUACGGAGGGUGCGAGCGUUAAUCGGAAUUACUGGGCGUAAAGCGCAUGCAGGUGGUUUGUUAAGUCAGAUGUGAAAGCCCGGGGCUCCCAAUCGGAAUAGCAUUUGAAACUGGCAGACUAGAGUACUGUAGAGGGGUAGAAUUUCAGGUGUAGCGGUGAAAUGCGUAGAGAUCUGAAGGAAUACCGGUGGCGAAGGCGGCCCCUGGACAGAUAGCAUCACUCAGAUGCGAAAGCGUGGGAGCAAACAGGAUUAGAUAUUUCGGUAGUCCACGCCGUAAACGAUGUCUACUUGGAGGUUGUGGCC